RNAcentral lists this ribosomal RNA (433 nucleotides) under uncultured bacterium. RNAcentral describes it as "partial 16S ribosomal RNA". It matches the Rfam family "Bacterial small subunit ribosomal RNA", at positions 29 to 507 of the family's 1533-position model. The record is from RNAcentral.
AACGAACGCUGGCGGCAGGCCUAACACAUGCAAGUCGAGCGCGCCCUUCGGGGUUAGCGGCGGACGGGUGAGUACCGCCUGGGAACGUGCCCUUUUCUACCGUACCGUCUCGGGAAACUUAACGUCAUAACGCAUACGCCCAUAGGGGGUAAGAUUUCUCGGUACAGGAUCGGCCCGGGUUGGUUUCGGUAGUUGGUGGUGUAAUGGCCUAUCAACCCGACGAUGCAUAGCUGGUUGGAUAGGAGGACCAGGCGCACUGGGACUGAGACACGGCCCAGACUGCGACGGGAGGCAGCAGUAGGUAAUCUUAGAGAAGGGGGGCAAACCUGAUCAAGCCAUGCCGCGGGAGUGAGGAAGGCGGUAGUGUUGUAAAUCUGUUUCAGAUGGAAAGAGAAUGACGGUACCGGCAGAAGAAGCCCCGGCUAACUCCGUG